UUGAUAAGCGUGAGGUCGGAAGUUCAAGUCUUCCCAGGCCCACCACUUUGAUCGAGUGCGGAGCAUUCGUCUUCUGGUUACGGGGCCAUAGCUCAGCUGGGAGAGCGCGUGCUUUGCAAGCAUGAGGUCGUCGGUUCGAUCCCGUCUGGCUCCACCAGAUGGAAUUGAAGUUCGAGAAUGCCUCGUUCAAAACCGUCCGCGAAACAUCACUCCGCAUUCAUUAGUCCGGAUGGGCAAUGACAUGCGUGUUUUCUGACAUCGUAAAGAGGAGAUCGAUCCGAGUUUGGAUCAAGCGAAGCAAUUCGCCUGAGCCAUUCAUUAUCUCCGGGAUCAUUUCGGCGCUCGCUUUCAAUUGUGAGAUUGAAUGCGAGUUGUAAAUGAUCCCUUUUAGCGAAGCUUGACCGCCUCGCUAUCGGGCCGAUCUUAUGAAGCAAGCUGGUCUUUCUAAUCAAUGUCCGGCUGCGACAAUCGCAUUCAUCGAGGAUGCGUGCCUUCAAUGGCAGUUGCGCAGACAACAUUCUGCCGAGUGUGUGGAUAUUGAUAAUGAGAGCAAUCAAGUGCCUUAAGGGUGUUCGGUGGAUGCCUUGGCGCUGAGAGGCGAUGAAGGACGUGCUACGCUGCGAUAAGCCGUGGGGAGCUGCGAAGAAGCUU
Molecule: unclassified non-coding RNA, 651 nt
Filed under: Bradyrhizobium sp.
Lineage: Bacteria; Pseudomonadati; Pseudomonadota; Alphaproteobacteria; Hyphomicrobiales; Nitrobacteraceae
Description: partial contains 16S-23S ribosomal RNA intergenic spacer and 23S ribosomal RNA
Rfam family: Bacterial large subunit ribosomal RNA (bases 552-651)
Source: RNAcentral